GGCCCCGUUCUGAACCAGUUGACCAAAAAUCCCGAGCAAAGUGCUCCAGUGAGAGGAGGGAGAGACAGCUGUCAGCUGGAGCUGCUGAAUGCAGCGCGAAGGACGGAAGGAUGCUGAUUUGAGCUGGGCGUGAUUUGGAAGAUCCAGGGAAGGACAUUCCAGGUCCCGGACAGCCAAAGCGAAGUCUCACAGGAUUCUGCCCUGCCCUUCAGCUCUGCAUCUGAUGGCCAGCAUCUGGGGGAUCUUGUUUUCCUAAGAUUGUUGGAAUUCCUGUUAUCAUCAUAUGAAGUCUUCCCCUGGCGUCAUCAGCUUCCUGUAUCCAGGAGCUGUUCUAACUAAGGAACCUCAGUGCAGACACCUGAAUAUCACAUUCUCUGCCUGAAGAAUUCUCCGAUCUUGGUAGAGUGUGGACCCUUUUGAGAUCUUGCUUUUUGGCAUGAUCAUUUCUGACAUACCUCUGUGUCCAUUGGUGUAAUUUUUUGUUUUUGGAAACAGACUGAGCUGCUUCUGCCCAGAGCCAUCAAGGCUGUACCUGAAACUGUCUCCUGACCUUGGAGUGCUCAAGUUCACAUGGACUCUCCACUUUGUUCUGGAGAUAUGUGGGCUCCGGCUCAGGCAGCAUCAAGACAAGCCAGGCCUGCAGACCUCCCCAAGGGACAAAAGCCCUCCUCCUCACCCACGAAGGUGGGCUCAUCCUGCUGGAUAUGAGACCUUCCCUUUACCUCUGCUAUCUUUUCUCUGUGUAAGAUUCACAUGACUCCCGCUCAGUCAUGGAUGUGGGCACGCCUCCGUGCCCGGGACCUCCACCGUCUCUUCCCCAGUCCUGCUGCAACUGCUCCGUAGCCCAGGCCCCACGACAUAACCGUCCCUGUGGCAGCAGCUGGUAGAUAAGACCAAAGGAUAUGACCAAAGAUUGGAAGGGUUAGGCCUCUCAGGAGGAUUGCCCCAGGGGCACGAUGCUGGCAGGUUAUGAGAACGAGAUGCCUCAGGGUAAGGACCCAGCCUUCACUUACUAAUCCUGUAAAUGAUGGAGAAGGGAAAUCCAGCGUUUAAAAAUAUCCCACCACGGAGUUCCCGUUGUGGCACAAAGGGAUUGGCAGCAUCUUGGGAGCUCUGGGACACAGGUUCUGUCCCAGCCCGGCACAGUGGGUUAAGAAUCCAGGGUUGCCGAAGCUGUGGCUUAGGUUGCAACUGCGGCUCAGAUCAGAUCCCUGGCCUGGGAACUCCAUAUGCUGCAAGGCAGCCAAAAAAAGAAAACAAACAAAAACUAUAUAUAUAUGUGUGUGUGUGUGUACAAAUCCCACUGCUUGCUCCAUGAGUCCCCUAAAAUGAAGAUAAGACUCCAGCCAAGAAAUUAAGUUGAUUUGGGAAAAACUAAAAAUCCCUCCUUGGUGUUAUAACUUCAAGUUCAGUUUACUGUUAUUAUGUAGUGCUUUCUAGCAAUAUUUUCCCAUUUAUAUUAUUUUUAAAAGAAAUGGAAUUUCCCUGGUGGCCUAACAGGUUAAGGAUCCCGCAUUGUCACUGCUGUGGAUAAGUGACAAUGCUGUGGUGUGGGUUUGACCCUUGGCCCAGGAACUUCUGCAUACCAUGUCCAAAAAAGCCCAUUAUUGCCUUAGAGAUUUCCAAUUAUCUCUCCUGUUUGAUUAACAAAAACUGGUUAAUUAGGUUUCACUGUAUGAGCUAAGGAGUUUCAUUAUUCUGUUUGCCUAAAAUCUAAAAUUUGUACUACACAUUUGCAUAUAUAUCUCUUACAUAAAUGUAUUUGUAUAUUUG
RNAcentral lists this long non-coding RNA (1773 nucleotides) under Sus scrofa (pig). Its description in RNAcentral is "lncRNA (ENSSSCG00030070981.1)". Lineage: Eukaryota; Metazoa; Chordata; Mammalia; Artiodactyla; Suidae. The record is from RNAcentral.